This 253-nucleotide ribosomal RNA is filed under the name uncultured bacterium. RNAcentral describes it as "partial 16S ribosomal RNA". It matches the Rfam family "Bacterial small subunit ribosomal RNA", at positions 524 to 776 of the family's 1533-position model. The record is from RNAcentral.
UACGUAGGGUGCGAGCGUUAAUCGGAAUUACUGGGCGUAAAGCGUGCGCAGGCGGUUCGUUGUGUCGGCGGUGAAAGCCCCGGGCUUAACCUGGGAAUGGCCGCUGAGACUGGCGAACUGGAGUGUGGCAGAGGGGGGUGGAAUUCCGCGUGUAGCAGUGAAAUGCGUAGAGAUGCGGAGGAACACCGAUGGCGAAGGCAGCCCCCUGGGCUGACACUGACGCUCAGGCACGAAAGCGUGGGGAGCAAACAGG